Molecule: long non-coding RNA, 6952 nt
Organism: Aethalodelphis obliquidens (Pacific white-sided dolphin)
Lineage: Eukaryota; Metazoa; Chordata; Mammalia; Artiodactyla; Delphinidae
Exons: 3
Source: RefSeq, a predicted model, not a curated record
CAACUAAGGAGCCCACCUGCUGCAACUAAGACCUGGUGCAACCAAAUAAAUAAAUAAAUAUUAAAAAACAAAAAAAGAAGAAGUUAUAUAGUUGGAUCUCCAAGUUGGAUAACUUGAAUACGGAAAAAGUGUGAAUAUUUUGAGGACACAGUGAAAACAGCAGGUUUUGAGGAUAAAGUCACAAUAAAGGAAAGAGGAGGAGGAGACUGUUAGAACCUUCCAGAUGUCUUGAAGAAAGUAGUUUUACAAGUCUAAAAAUAACUGAGAUAUUUGGAUAGGACGACAAUCUGACAACUAUGUCUGUGAAUGUUUCCCUAUACACAUUUAUGUUUAUUCAGUCAAGCUCUCCAUGUAUCGUGGGAUGUGCCGUUUCUCAGCUAUGAUAAUCACUUGGCAUCAGAAUCUGCCGGAGGGUUUGCGUGAGUUGCCUUCUGGGUCAUGUAGUGGCAAGUUGAGGGCAGCCAUGAUGGGCUGUGGGUGGUUAGGAAAAGGCAGUGGUUCUAUGGGAGGCUGGUAGAGUUAUUUACAAAGCUUUAGGUAUUUUAGGCAAACCAUUCUAAAACUGACUUUUUCAAAGAUGCGUCAACAGAGGUUUCAAAACUGGCCAGAAAUGAUGGUUCCCGGCUCUAAUGCAAGUUAGCUACAUCUCCUGGAAUUACAAUCUAAAGUGUUCCUUCAUUCAUUGAUUCAAGAAAAGUAUAGAGAGAAGCUAAUGUUUGCCAGAAACUGUCAUGCCCUGGGGAUGCUCCAGUGAUCAACACAGAAUGUGCACCCUGCUUUCCCUGAGCUUGCGUCUGGUAGGGAUGGUAUAUGAGUAACUGGUUCUUAUAGUGCAGUAUGAUAAGACCUUUGUGGAGUCUUAGAGGACGUCCAAGGUGGCACUGACCUAGUCUUUGGAGGAAAGGGUGUAUUGGUCUGCAAAUAGCAGACUCCAUCCCCUCACCUUGACCUCUCCCCAGGGAGGGGGAAAGAACAGUGGCUUUAACAACUAAGAAGUUUAUAUUUCCAGAAGCAGGCAGUCCAGGCUUUUAUGGCAGCUCAAAGAUGCCAUCAGAGCCUUUGCUCAGUCAUUCUUGGCAUAUGGAUUGUGUCCUCAUGGCUGCAAAAUGGCUUUUAAAGUUCUAGGCGCAAUUCUGCAUUCCAGGUAGUAAGAAGAGGAAGAUCAGAUGGCAAAAUGCCAGAUGAAUCUGUUGGAGGUUUUCCAGAGUCUCAAUCCAGCACCUGCUUAUCUUUUUGGCCACAGCUGUGUCCCAUGGCUACGCUAGAUGCAAGGGUGGUGAGAAAUGUAGCUUUUGCCUCAAAACUUCGCCAAGUCAGGUUGAAGUGGACUUGCGUUCAUCAGGAAGAAGGCAAAGUGGCUACAGGGAAGGCGAUUCCCACUUUACCCAGGGGCCAGUUUAUGUAGAGGAAGCAGGCGCUGUAUUCCUGGCCACUGUGUUGUAGCCUCCAUGGGUUUUGCUUUUGUUUUUGCAGCUCUCACUGCUCUAGCAGUUGCAGGUGAUCACAAGGCAGGAGCAGGUACGGGGACCUGCUGAAGCCUGAAAUCGCUUCCCCCGAUUCCCCCCAUUUCGGGCAGACCCACCUGCAAGCAGGCUGGGUGUGCUCCAUGUUGGUUGCAACAGGGAACCAGACAGAUUCCCCUUCCCCGAGGCUCCGCAUUCAGUGAAGACGUCAAAAACACAACCAUUCCCAUUUUAAGCAUUUCACUGUUUUUACACAUUAUAUUAAUUCCUCCCAGCAAACUUGAAGGGAAAGCAAGUAUGUGGUCUCAUUAUAAGGAUAAGGAAACAGAAGGCCAGAGAGGGUGGAGACUUGCCCAGGGCCACACUGCAGGUUAGGGGCAAACACUGGACCAAGAUGCUGGGCUUGCACUUCUCUCCUGUCCAGAGCCAGCUCCUGCCCUGGUGUGGAUGCCUAUGAGCUGCCCACAUUCAGCAGGGUUGAGCUGAAAGCCUGGCUCAGGUAAGCAGGGGGAUUGGAGAAGGAGGACGGACGAGCUGGGGGCCGCAGGCAUCGGAGCCGUCAGCCAUGGUAUCUGCCAGCUUUGCUGAUCGGUCCCCACUGCGCUGGUCCCCUCCAGUUCCUGCAGGGGAGACGGUGGCGGCUUUCCUUGUGGUCAUAAGCUUCGGGAAGGUGCUCCCAUCCUUGGCCUUCUAGGAUGGCGCCUCCCUGGACAAGUUCCCCUCUUUUCCCAGUCAAACGCCGCUGGUUCUUUUCCCUUCGCAGAAGACCUGGGAAAGUUGGUCUUAUUCUCUUCAGUCCCUUCUUGCUCUCAGUUCCUGUGGAGUCUCCUUGGCUGUAAGCAGGCUUCAGGGCGGAGCCGCUCUGAGCCAGCCUUGGGAUGGAACGGCCCUGGCCUUCCCCCAGCACUCUCACUUUCUCUCCCUUCCCUCCCAGCCGUGGCUCUGGCUGUCUCCCCAACCCUGUCCAGUCCUGGCAGCCACGAUCUCGAUGUUAGUUGCUAAGAGGAACUUUCAUACUUUCCCCAUGGACCAUGCCUGGGCCCUAAGCUCAGGACCAAGCUGGGUCUCCACGGAGGCUCACGAAGGCAGCUGCGUGGACAGGAUGCGCUGAGCUGUCCCUCUCAUCACCGUUCCCACAGUCUGCAAUGCUCUCCCAGCUCCUACGAGGCCUAUGCAUGACUCAGGAUUCAGUUCAAGCUUAUCUCCUUUGGCAGGUCUUCCCUGCCCCCUGCCCCCUCCACCGUCACAGGCUCACCAGUGUUGGAGGAUUCCCUCCCCAGGGCCCACGGGUCUCAAAGCAUCGACCCCCGCUGCAGUGUACUAUCUGUGUAUAUGUCUUCUUCCUCCCUCCCCCUGAGUGUUAGAUCCUUGCAUUCUCUAGAUCUAACCAGUGCCUGGCACUUAGUAGGCCCUCAACACAUACCGGAUGAAUCAAGGAUGCAUUAUGGUGCAGGAUAUUAUGAAAGCAUGUGGGAAAAGCUUCUGUCACCUUCUUGAGGUACCUUAAGCUGAAGCAGUUGCAGAGAGGGAAAGAAAUAAUCAUAGUGUGUGUUUGUUGAGCACUUAGUAUAUGCCAGGCAUGAUCACAGGCUCUUUGCAGGUCCCUGAAUCUUUACAACAACCUCCAUUUUGCUCAUUAGAAAACAGGCACAGAGAGGUUAAGUAACUUACUCAAGGUCCCACAGCCAGGAAGUGGUGGAGGAAUUUCAACUGUGGAGCUCAGGCUGUUAACCCUUUACCACAUGUGCUGCAUCUUUAGUGCCAGCUCCCCACCCUCCCAGCCAAGCAAGAGCCCUCAUGUGUAUUAAUUAGACUAAAAGACAAGACACAGCCUUCCCAGCCCUUGCCACUCAUCCCUGUGCCGAUGUGGGAGUGAGAGGCAGAAGGGAGGGCUGAGGGCCAGCUGCGGGGGAAGCUGGGGAGACCUCUACAGCACAGGUGCGUCCUCGGCAGCCUGGGACACAGCACUCAUGGCUGAGGAGCUGGGGCCCUUCCUCCACAAGAUGGGGCAGGGAGAAGUGGCUGGGUGGAGACCCACAUCAGGGCGGGAAAGGUGCCGGAGCGUCCCCAUCACCCGAGGAGAAAGGUGACUCCUGUUUAUCAGUCAGGGGUGAGCUGGGAACAGCUCUCAAUAACACAGCACUCUGGCUUUGGGAGCAGAGCUGGUUGCUUUCUCCUGGCAGAGCUAGGAAAUAGAACCACCCAGGCAGGGCUCGCUCUUACCCACGAAUGUCUCCUUCCGUUCAGGUGUUGCCACAGUCUCUGAAAUGCCACCACUGGCGAGAGAUUUGGAAACAUUAUCCGUUUCUGUUCUUGCAAGAUAAAAAGAGUUCAUGUCAUUUUAGAACUUGUCAUGAAAAGCAUUCAGAUUCCCUAUCUCAGUUGAAUCUCCCAGGUUGGCUAUAAAGCCUGAGGGCUCGCAGUAGCUAUUGAGGCACUCAAGUGAUGCGCCUGUUUGACUCGUACACAGACUGCCUGAAUCCCACUUCUGACCAGCUACAGAACCUGGGCAGCUCACCUGCCCUCCCACUGCCUCAGCUCUCUUUGCCCAUAAAUGGGGUGAUGAUAGUACCUACUCAUAGAACUGUCAGGACUAAAUAAGUGACCGAUGUGACAUGUGGCAUCAUGCAGCAUCAUCUGGCACGCGGCAAGGGGUAAUGUAAGCAUCAGCUGUUAUCAUUUUUCUGUUUUAUAGGUGAGGAAAAGUGAGGCUCAGAGAGGUGAAGUGACUUUCCCCAGGUCACACAGCCAGUUGGUGGCAGAAUGAAGAUCCAAUCUCUGUAACUUGAUCUUCCAACUUCUCCUGGGAUGUUUGGUAACCGGCCCAGGAGAUGGGCUAGAGGAGAGCAGAGCCAUGGUGCUCUCAGACUUGAUUGUUUGGGCUGCCUCUGCAUUUGUCACUACCAUGUGAAGAUGUGGUAAGACCCACCCUUUAUGGGACAAGAGAAGCUGUCCUCAUGGAGGUGCCCCUUCGAUGUAUGAUGGCAUUUCCUGUGGUAUUUGGGCCCUUUGGGGAAGCAUAAAUUAGCUAAUAUCUAAGAAGCAGGGGGCCCCAGCCAGGGCACUGGGCAGGCACUGUAGUCCUGACGGUAUGUGGCAUAGGGGCAGUGUUCUGUCUAAACAAAACUGUCCCUGAGCUCCGUGGCCCUGGGGACAAGACCCACCAUUCCCUGGGCUGUAAUCCUCGAGAAGGAGGUUGGGAAGUCUAGCUGGCAGGCAGCUCUCACGGGCUAACCCAGAAAGGUGGCUUGGUCUCGAGGACAUUGGCACCGUAGCAGGCAAGUGGCAAAAAAAUGUCAGUGAGAUAUAUGUGUUUGAAAGACAACACUAGGCCAUGAACUUUCCCGGAGGGCGUGGCUCAGACUGGGGAGCUCCCAGAGGGCCACCUACGUGUUUGAAAGACAGCACUAGGCCGUGAGCUUUCCCAGACGGCGUGGCUGAGACUGGAGACCUCCCAGAGGGCCACCUGGCCUUUUUCUGGCUCUUGCCCAUUCUCCACACGUCGGGCCGUGGGCACGUGCUCUGCAGGGCCAGCUGUGAGGCUGGGGUCUGCUGUCUGGUCCUCCCUCCCUCGUGCGUACGGGGGACCUGGGGGGGCCCUAAGCCGGAGCUGCUGCCCCAGACUGCAGCAAAGCCGCGUCGUGACCACUGCCCUCAGGCCCGAGCUGGCUUAGGCUUCACCAGAAAGGAAAACGCCCCCUCCUUGUGCAAUGGGUGCAGCCUCUUCUGGAAUCUUCCACAAGCCAAGCCUGACUGAGCGUGGGUGACCGGGGACCCGGGCACUUGUCUAUUCAUUUUGUAUCCUUUUAAUAUUGUUGUUACAGAAGUAAACACCCCCAAAGUAGAAAAGUUAGAAAAUAUGGAUGACAAGAGACAUGAAAACCAUCCAUAACGCUGCCUUCCGGAAGUAAGUCCGGUUUACUUUUCCUUCCAGUCUUUUUUCUGUGUCCACAUGCGUGUGCACGACGUGCUCCUUAUUCAAAUGAGAACAUAGGAUGAACUGCGCCUGGGGAAUCCGAUUCUUCUUCAUUUCACACAGUAGGGGUGAGCACGUAUCUCUGUCAGAGCACAUUUUUCUUUGCCAACAUGUUUCCUCACUAUUUGUUUUCCCUAAGCCCUCUUUCAAACGUGUUCAGCACUUGGUUUGGGUCACAGGUCCCAACUGGAUCCCAGGAUCCGGCCCUUUUGAGCUAAGUGUGCCAGGGCAGGCCCUGUAGUUUUGAGUAAUGGAAAAGCCCCAGGCUGGCUGUUUGCAGCAAGUGUUCGUGCCCAGCCCUGCCCUGACUCAUGGGCCAUCUUAGACGAGUCACUUCACCCCUCUGGGUCUCAGUUUCUUUGCCUAUGAAACGGGAUGGCUGGUUUAAGGGCUCUGCCAGCUCUGAAGUGCUAUGACUAAGCAGCUGGAGACUCACAGGAUUCCAGAAGACUCUGGGAGCGAUGCUGCUGAGGGGGAGUUGCUUCUUCCUGCAAAGGACCAGAGAAGCCUGUCCUGGCUUCCUGAGGGAAGAGGGAAGCGUAAAACAGGCUGUGCCCUAGAGCCAUCCUCUGCUCUGAAGAGACCGCCUGUCCGGACCACUUACAGCACUUGUAAGAUCGGACCAGAUCACCCUCAGCCCCAUUUCUCACAGACUGGGAUGAAGAUGGGCAGGAUUUCCCUUCCAGUUCUACUGCAGGCAGAACAGCUCCAACCAGCGUGUGGUAGAGACUGCCCUCGGGACCAGGGCGUUUCCCUAGAGAUGAGGGGAAGCCACUCAGCAUGUGUGUGUGCAUCUUUUGUGCACACACCUGAAGACACCAGUUAUGCUUACUGCAUCUUAAUAUGUUUUUAAAAUAUGAUCGUUUUAUGAUUCAAAAGUUAUAUAUAUAUAUAUUUAUAACGUGCAUACAAACGUCUAGUCGAGACAAUUUUAAAUCACCCAUAAUGUAAUAAUAAUAUUGUGGUUAUGUUAUUUUAAAGAGCUUUUAUCUUUUAGAGACACACUCUGAAAUAUUUACAGAUUAAAAAGCCAUGAUGUCUGGGAUUUGUUUCAAGAUAAUCCAGAGCUGAGGAAGGAAGUAGGAGGUGCAGACAGAUAAAAUAGACCAUGACUUGAUAAUUGUUGACGCUGGGUGAUGUGUACAUGGGAAUUCAUUAUACUUUUCUCACUAUCUGUUUAUUUAUAUUUAUGAUUGAAAUUUUCUAUAAUUAAAAGUUUUUUUUAAAGAUUUCCACCUUCCUUUUGUGCAUAAAAAUUCCAUUAAAUCUUCAUUGCCUUGUUCGGAAAAAAAUCACCAAUAAUCUCACCCCAUAUGCUUCCAGCCCUCUUUCAAUACAAAGAUAUACAAAGAGAGAGACUGUACUCUAUUGGGAUUUGUAACAAUGUGUUGAAAAUAAGACCUUAUUUAUUUGGUCAAUAUUAAUAUUUGCACACUCUAUUUCUUUUUUUAUUGAAGUAUAGUUGAUUUACAAUGUUAUGUUAGUUUCUGGUGUACAGCAAAGUAAUUCAGUU